UAGGGAAUCUUCGGCAAUGGACGAAAGUCUGACCGAGCAACGCCGCGUGAGUGAAGAAGGUUUUCGGAUCGUAAAACUCUUUUGUUAGAGAAGAACAAGGACGUUAGUAACUGAACGUCCCCUGACGGUAUCUAACCAGAAAGCCACGGCUAACUACGUGCCAGCAGCCGCGGUAAUACGUAGGUGGCAAGCGUUGUCCGGAUUUAUUGGGCGUAAAGCGAGCGCAGGCGGUUUCUUAAGUCUGAUGUGAAAGCCCCCGACUCAACCGGGGAGGGUCAUUGGAAACUGGGAGACUUGAGUGCAGAAGAGGAGAGUGGAAUUCCAUGUGUAGCGGUGAAAUGCGUAGAUAUAUGGAGGAACACCAGUGGCGAAGGCGGCUCUCUGGUCUGUAACUGACGCUGAGGCUCGAAAGCGUGGGGAGCAAACAGG
Molecule: ribosomal RNA, 429 nt
Filed under: Gemmatimonadota bacterium
Lineage: Bacteria; Pseudomonadati; Gemmatimonadota
Description: Gemmatimonadetes bacterium partial 16S ribosomal RNA
Rfam family: Bacterial small subunit ribosomal RNA
Source: RNAcentral